RNAcentral lists this ribosomal RNA (861 nucleotides) under Aspergillus flavus. RNAcentral describes it as "LSU rRNA". It matches the Rfam family "Eukaryotic large subunit ribosomal RNA", at positions 34 to 910 of the family's 3401-position model. Lineage: Eukaryota; Fungi; Ascomycota; Eurotiomycetes; Eurotiales; Aspergillaceae. The record is from RNAcentral.
UUAAGCAUAUCAAUAAGCGGAGGAAAAGAAACCAACCGGGAUUGCCUCAGUAACGGCGAGUGAAGCGGCAAGAGCUCAAAUUUGAAAGCUGGCCCCUUCGGGGUCCGCAUUGUAAUUUGCAGAGGAUGCUUCGGGUGCGGCCCCUGUCUAAGUGCCCUGGAACGGGCCGUCAGAGAGGGUGAGAAUCCCGUCUGGGAUGGGGUGUCCGCGCCCGUGUGAAGCUCCUUCGACGAGUCGAGUUGUUUGGGAAUGCAGCUCUAAAUGGGUGGUAAAUUUCAUCUAAAGCUAAAUACUGGCCGGAGACCGAUAGCGCACAAGUAGAGUGAUCGAAAGAUGAAAAGCACUUUGAAAAGAGAGUUAAAAAGCACGUGAAAUUGUUGAAAGGGAAGCGCUUGCGACCAGACUCGCCCCCGGGGUUCAGCCGGCAUUCGUGCCGGUGUACUUCCCCGGGGGCGGGCCAGCGUCGGUUUGGGCGGCCGGUCAAAGGCCCCUGGAAUGUAGUACCCUCCGGGGUACCUUAUAGCCAGGGGUGCAAUGCGGCCAGCCUGGACCGAGGAACGCGCUUCGGCACGGACGCUGGCAUAAUGGUCGCAAACGACCCGUCUUGAAACACGGACCAAGGAGUCUAACAUCUACGCGAGUGUUCGGGUGUCAAACCCGUACGCGCAGUGAAAGCGAACGGAGGUGGGAGCCCCCCCGCGGGGCGCACCAUCGACCGAUCCUGAUGUCUUCGGAUGGAUUUGAGUACGAGCGUAAAUGUGGGGACCCGAAAGAUGGUGAACUAUGCCUGAAUAGGGCGAAGCCAGAGGAAACUCUGGUGGAGGCUCGCAGCGGUUCUGACGUGCAAAUCGAUCGUCAAAU